Non-coding RNA from Lepisosteus oculatus (spotted gar), 316 nucleotides. The record is from RefSeq and is a predicted model, not a curated record. NCBI's taxonomy places the organism in Eukaryota, Metazoa, Chordata, Actinopteri, Semionotiformes, Lepisosteidae.
UCUCAAUCCCUGCUGCUUUCAGACUCAACUUCCUCUCCAGCAGCGUUUAACUGAACUAGUUACAUUGCUUCAGCACUUUCCGGGAAACUCCACUCAAAGCACUUAUUGGAUGAUGAGGACUCGGUGCCACCACCACCAAUAUGCAGCAUUCACCUGGCUUUUUGCAAAGCCUUUGUUUUCUGGCAGGAUUUCGCCAUACCAUCCUUUGAAGUUCCUGAGUCAGCCAAGACAGGGUGAAAGUUCUUCAAUGAAAGUUCUAUUAUCUUGAGAUGGGAUUUGGGACCAGAUGGUACAAAAGUCUACUUUUAAAUUUUUC